UUAUUGCAUUGUUCAAGGGUGUUUUUACAUAGUCCUAAAGAGUCUGAAACAUUCUAUAAAUCUUGGAUAGCUGAGUUAUUGAGAACUAAUGAUUUUCUCACUCAUUAUAUUUUGGAAUUGUAUAAAGGUGUAUCUGUUAUAGUUCAUCCAAAGAUAACUGUAAUUAGAUAUAAAAUUGAUAGCAAUAGAUUGACUAACUUGAAUUGCAUAA
This 211-nucleotide long non-coding RNA is filed under the name Elaeis guineensis (African oil palm). Its description in RNAcentral is "long non-coding RNA (EGUI_LNC006579)". Lineage: Eukaryota; Viridiplantae; Streptophyta; Magnoliopsida; Arecales; Arecaceae. The record is from RNAcentral.